Molecule: ribosomal RNA, 495 nt
Filed under: uncultured bacterium
Lineage: Bacteria
Description: partial 16S ribosomal RNA
Rfam family: Bacterial small subunit ribosomal RNA
Source: RNAcentral
UGAACGCUGGCGGCGUGCCUAAUACAUGCAAGUCGAGCGAACAGACGAGGAGCUUGCUCCUCUGACGUUAGCGGCGGACGGGUGAGUAACACGUGGAUAACCUACCUAUAAGACUGGGAUAACUUCGGGAAACCGGAGCUAAUACCGGAUAAUAUAUUGAACCGCAUGGUUCAAUAGUGAAAGACGGUUUUGCUGUCACUUAUAGAUGGAUCCGCGCUGCAUUAGCUAGUUGGUAAGGUAACGGCUUACCAAGGCAACGAUGCGUAGCCGACCUGAGAGGGUGAUCGGCCACACUGGAACUGAGACACGGUCCAGACUCCUACGGGAGGCAGCAGUAGGGAAUCUUCCGCAAUGGGCGAAAGCCUGACGGAGCAACGCCGCGUGAGUGAUGAAGGUCUUCGGAUCGUAAAACUCUGUUAUUAGGGAAGAACAAAUGUGUAAGUAACUAUGCACGUCUUGACGGUACCUAAUCAGAAAGCCACGGCUAACUACGUG